Ceratina calcarata is the source of this 458-nucleotide long non-coding RNA. RefSeq lists it as uncharacterized. Lineage: Eukaryota; Metazoa; Arthropoda; Insecta; Hymenoptera; Apidae. The transcript has 2 exons. The record is from RefSeq and is a predicted model, not a curated record.
AAUGUCGUCGAUGACAAGCAACGGAUAGCCCGAGGGCAUGCACGACCAGAACGUCGCGUAAUUUUCGACCGGGACAACAGAUCAACCGAUUUCCACAUACAAAUUCCGCAAGGGAGCAGAGAGUUGACGGGGGGAUACGAGCAUCAGAUAUUUUCGUACGCCAUUCAACCCAUUUCCAGAGAGUUGAGAAAACAGAAACGAUUCAAGAUACGAAUAAGGAACCAACUUAACGAGUGCACAGGGAAAGCGAAGAAUGGUCAAAAGAGCAGCAGCGUUUUGGAAGACUCUCGCAAGCGUUAGAAUUCAUGAAUCAUUUUUUUCUUCCGACAGAUGAAUAACAAUUCUUAACUUGCGCAACUUUAUCGCUACUCGAUUUAAUACGAAACGAUUAGAAGAUGACGAAUUUAUUCAUGCUUAUAAUAUCCUUUGAGCGACAUAAAAUUUGAUUUAAAAAGUAA